GAUCUACUAGUACAGUUGCUAUAAUGAAGAGUCUCCGCCCACAAGGACGUAUACGCACCCCAACGCCAGGCACGUCACGCACUUUGGAGAAGAGAGCAUUGAGCAGGAGAGGUCAGGUCGCUCAGUUCCGCAGCCUGCACUGUGCUCCCCGGCCCGCAGCUACUCUGUGCUUUCAUAUAGCUUGCGGCCUGGGGGCACUGCAAUGUGUGCUCCUGGCCGCUCUGAACUCUGACACCCAUUCACUGUCCUCAAAUGUGGUGUUUCAGGGCUGUAGCAGUUUGGACAGUGUCACAGAGCAGCCAGCCUUCUCUAUAUGCAGAUGCAGUUCGGGAUUGUUGUGGCCCCUCCUCUGGGACAAGCCAGCAAUGAGCUGAGCUCCUAUACUGGCUGGCCCCUCCUCUCCUGUGUCCCGACCUCCUCCCUUCGGACUCAGUUUUUCCUGGCCAGCAUCCAUCCUACUCCCUGCUUUCUACACUCACCAGGGCCGCAGCCCGGCCGGUCAGCGUCAGGGGUUGUCACGACAACCAGACGCAUAUUGGAUGACGUCAACAGCAGGGAGCCGGAAGAGAAGCCGGGACUCGUACAGCCGGGCAGGCGUGAUGCACAAGGCGGGAUUCUUUGGUAUUUAAGCAUUGGGAACCCCUGAGAGAAGUAAGCGUUGCCAUGGUCACACGGCCCACUACGAUACGUCACUUCCGGCAUUGACGCAACAAGCAGAACACUGUACCGGAAGUGCGGCUGGCGUGUCCGCGGCGGACGCUGGCGGGGAGAUCAGAAAGAGG
This is a long non-coding RNA of Pseudophryne corroboree (corroboree frog), 782 nucleotides long. RefSeq lists it as uncharacterized. The record is from RefSeq and is a predicted model, not a curated record. NCBI's taxonomy places the organism in Eukaryota, Metazoa, Chordata, Amphibia, Anura, Myobatrachidae. The transcript is spliced from 4 exons.